Molecule: small nucleolar RNA, 133 nt
Filed under: Zosterops lateralis melanops
Lineage: Eukaryota; Metazoa; Chordata; Aves; Passeriformes; Zosteropidae
Description: Small nucleolar RNA SNORA55 (ENSZLMG00000003500.1)
Rfam family: Small nucleolar RNA SNORA55
About the family: ACA55 is a member of the H/ACA class of snoRNA that guide the sites of modification of uridines to pseudouridines.
Source: Rfam by way of RNAcentral
GCACCCACCUCAUUCCCGUUCCUUGCUAUGCAGUGCAGGUCUGGGGGCUCUUGGUGCUACAGCACAGCAGUGGAAAUCCAGAUGAGUUCUUCUUYCCUGGUGUGGGACUCAUCUCUACACCUCUGCAACACCA